Molecule: ribosomal RNA, 480 nt
Filed under: Hepatozoon sp.
Lineage: Eukaryota; Apicomplexa; Hepatozoidae
Description: bacterial SSU rRNA
Rfam family: Eukaryotic small subunit ribosomal RNA
Source: RNAcentral
GACCUAUCAGCUUUCGACGGUAUGGUAUUGGCAUACCGUGGCAGUGACGGUUAACGGGGGAUUAGGGUUCGAUUCCGGAGAGGGAGCCUGAGAAACGGCUACCACAUCUAAGGAAGGCAGCAGGCGCGCAAAUUACCCAAUUCUAAUAGCAAAAGAGAGGUAGUGACAAGAAAUAACAGUACAAGGCAGUUAAAAUGCUUUGUAAUUGGAAUGAUAGAAAUUUAAAUACUUUUUAAAGUAUCAAUUGGAGGGCAAGUCUGGUGCCAGCAGCCGCGGUAAUUCCAGCUCCAAUAGCGUAUAUUAAAAUUGUUGCAGUUAAAAAGCUCGUAGUUGAAUUUCUGCUAGAAAUAACCGGUUUGCUUUUAUUAAUAAAAGUGGUAUCUUGGUGUGUUUCUAGCAAUAAUGUUCUUUGAAAUGUUUUUUACUUAAUUGUAAAAAGCACAAUUCAGGAUUUUUACUUUGAGAAAAUUAGAGUGUUUC